This 489-nucleotide ribosomal RNA is filed under the name uncultured Rathayibacter sp. RNAcentral describes it as "partial 16S ribosomal RNA". Lineage: Bacteria; Bacillati; Actinomycetota; Actinomycetes; Micrococcales; Microbacteriaceae. The record is from RNAcentral.
CACGUAGUUAGCCGGUGCUUUUCUGCAGGUACCGUCAAGCCGAAGCCCUUCUUCCCUACUAAAAGAGGUUUACAACCCGAAGGCCGUCAUCCCCCACGCGGCGUUGCUGCAUCAGGCUUUCGCCCAUUGUGCAAUAUUCCCCACUGCUGCCUCCCGUAGGAGUCUGGGCCGUGUCUCAGUCCCAGUGUGGCCGGUCACCCUCUCAGGCCGGCUACCCGUCGUCGCCUUGGUGAGCCAUUACCUCACCAACUAGCUGAUAGGCCGCGAGUCCAUCCUUGACCGAAAACUUUCCACCCGCACCCGAUGCCGGGGCAGGUCGUAUCCGGUAUUAGACGCCGUUUCCAGCGCUUAUCCCAGAGUCAAGGGCAGGUUACUCACGUGUUACUCACCCGUUCGCCACUAAUCCACCCAGCAAGCUGGGCUUCAUCGUUCGACUUGCAUGUGUUAAGCACGCCGCCAGCGUUCGUCCUGUGCCAGGAUCGAAACUCU